RNAcentral lists this long non-coding RNA (663 nucleotides) under Jatropha curcas. RNAcentral's name for it is "long non-coding RNA (JCUR_LNC001848)". Lineage: Eukaryota; Viridiplantae; Streptophyta; Magnoliopsida; Malpighiales; Euphorbiaceae. The record is from RNAcentral.
GUGUUUGUCCUUGCUUAUUAACCAUUAAUAUGAAUCUAAUUCCCAUUCCUCCUCUUCUCUAAUUUACUGAGUCGACGAUCUCUUCUUCAACAACAACCUCAGACAGAGAGAGCUGUGAUUUUAUUUCUCCAGCAGGGGAUCAAGGCAGGUAGCUCUGUAAUUGCAUUUAUUAAUUCAUUAUGAAAUGAAAUUACGAUUAGGGGGGAUUUUUAUUUUCUUCAGCACUUGGAUUUCGAUAUAAAAAAAAAAAAAAAAGGUCGUUUCCUGUAAUUAUGAGUCUGUAUAGCAAUUAAAAGUAAUUACGAAGGAAAAAAAGGAGAAAGAAAACCUGUUGCUCGGUGCGAGCGAGGCAUUUGCGAACAAUUUCGCCCUCAAGAGCACGGCGUUCUUCGAGGGUGAGCCACUCGUAGUAUUGGGCAAGACGUGUUUGUCCUUGCUUAUUAACCAUUAAUAUGAAUCUAAUUCCCAUUCCUCCUCUUCUCUAAUUUACUGAGUCGACGAUCUCUUCUUCAACAACAACCUCAGACAGAGAGAGCUGUGAUUUUAUUUCUCCAGCAGGGGAUCAAGGCAGGUAGCUCUGUAAUUGCAUUUAUUAAUUCAUUAUGAAAUGAAAUUACGAUUAGGGGGGAUUUUUAUUUUCUUCAGCACUUGGAUUUCGAUAUA